GUCAGUUUCUGGGCUGGUUCGGGCACGCAGAGGGGUGCAGACGGUGCGUGUGUGGUACGGUGAGGAGGACCAAAGACCAUAGAAACUGGCGGACUCGCAGCGCAGAGCGGUGGGAGCAAGGCGAUGGCUUUUCCGCGUUUCAGCGCGCAUGCGUGUCACUGCCUGGAGGACCAAACACCAUAGAAAUUGGCGGGCUUGCGGCGCAGAGCGUUCAGAACAGGGAGGUACUUUUCAUAGGAGGUGUGGAAGAAAUGUGAGAAAGAGGUGUCUUAGAUGAGAGGAGACGACUGGACUAUGUGGAUCAAGGGAGAAGAGUGAGUUGCUUGCUGCACAUUUUGCUUACGGAGCAUUAGUACAAGCUAUUCAAUUAAAGUAACUUUGGCUAAUUAGAUACUUCUGAAAGACCUCUGUCGCUAGAAGUGUCUUUUCCUUCAUUCACUUGUAGAAUGGGACAUCUAAGCAUCAUGCUUCUUCAUGCUCUGUUUUCAUGAUCAUACACUGUGCUGGUGUUCUUUAUUUGUUUUUAAAUGCAGAAGUGAUGCAGGCAUAAGCUGAUCCUGCACUGGGGUAAAUGUUGAGAUAUUAAGUAACUUAAUGUCUUACCUCUGUUUUCCUGUGGUCAUUUCCUUUUCACUUUGAGUCCCUUGACCCAAGUACAGUAGAAACAGUGAUUAAAAACAAGUGCACCUGCAGAGGCAGCUGCCAUAACUGCACUUGGAUUUGGCAGCAUGGACAGUGCUUCUAAAUGUGAGGGAAGAACAAGCAAUUGGCAUUCCAUGAUCAGUCUGAAACUUUCAGAGAGUCAUAGCAAUCUCCCCCGCUCCUAAAUAUGUACAUCUCGCAUCAGAAAACUCACUACAGUACAGUUACCAGAUGCUGAAUCAGCGUGAAGAAGAAACAGCCACACUGAAUGCAUAGAGGAAAAAUGGGUCACCUACCAUCAGUGAGCAUCAUGGCUCGCUGUCAGCUGAAAAUAUGGUUUGGGGCAUAGACAGUGAGUACAGCCAGAUGUCAUUUUUAAACACUGGCUCACUGUAUGCUGCCAACAAAUAAAAAGUCAUUUGAAUUUGAACUUCAAACUCAAUGGUUUUGGAAAUAAGCAAGGUGAGAACCUGCCUAUUUUGUAUGAGCUCCCUUUUGCUAAGCAUCCCUAGGGCUGCAGUUUUAGAGCCUGAAUGAGAGAAUCCAAAGCACCAGAGGGACAUAUUCUGUUGCAUCCUUAGUUUAUGGAAGUAGGGAGCUGCUCUUCUCUUUUUUUUUUUUGCACAUGGUAUCACUGCUCUGAUACGUAUAAUCAAUGCUAUGAGUUUUUGGAAUACAGUUUGUUUGUAACAGCAGCACAGCUGCUUUCUACUCCAUCUAGUUCCCUGUCAGUAGGCUGCUUCCUUUCAUGAUGGAAUGCACUUGUUGUUUUGAGCACCAGCAAACAGGAAAUUAGAGAAAGUGAACUGGACAAAUUGCAGACACUGUAAUUAUCUUUAUCUUUGAGCUCGUUGCAAACCAGCUGUCCCACCAGUCUGGUGAGAUGGCACAUCUUACAGCCAAGCUGAAAAUGAAGGAUGAAGGAGCACAAUUUGUCAGAGGAGGUGCAGAGAUCUUGGGGGACUCCAACAGUUAGCAGUUGUUUGACCAGCUAUUUUAAAAUUGACAUAGAUACCCAUUAUGAAGUUGAUGGUAACAGGAGGAGGAGCUCACUCAUCUCAUAGCGCUGAUUCUAUGAUUCUGUGUUAUUUGGAAAACAACCAAAACCACACCAAGACUGGACUGAACUCUUCUCUGACAUGAAUGGGCAGCACAGCUUGCAGAGAAUAACGCAGUCACAAAACCAUGGAGCUUCUUCUCUUUUGUGAGCUGAUUGUGCUCAAGAACACACACUAUACUAAUACACCAAGAACUGUCCUAACCAACCCUUCUUUGUCUCAGCUGUUACUUUUACCUUUCACAGUCAUGUCAAUGGAAUAUGUUUUAUAGUUCCAUUUCCUUGUUUUAAUCACCUGCUAGACAGCACAGAUGUCAGCUUGCAUUUCUUGCAUUGCAGAAGUACGAGAAUUGUUCCCCACUUACCUUCUCCAUGUUCACUGACUUAACAGUCUCUUUUUUGUGCCCCUGAUCAUCAUACAGGAUUCUUAGUUCUGAAGUUUCACCGUUAAGAUGGAUGGCCCAUAAUUACUGCAUACAGUGUUCAAGAGAAGGACAUAGGAGGAAAAAUAAAUAUCCAAAACCUAACAUGUAGAAAAGGACCAGUGCUACUCUAUAGCUUGACUUCCAUAGAGCAUGCACUGUUAUCUGAAAAGCGGAAAAUGUAUCCAGAUGGUAUAAUUCUUUUAAAAGAAUGUUUUCCUUUAUUUUAAAAAGAAUAUGACAGACUGUGUUUUAAAGAUUUGCAGCAUAAAUUCUUAAGAGUGGAAAAAAUGUUAUGUUAAUUUGGUCAUAGUUCUAAUGAUGAAGCUAAACAAACUUCUUUUCUCUCCAUCUUCUAUCUACCUGUCCAUGUUUAAUAAUGUAGUUCCUUGUUACCAAAGCACGAGAUCAGCUAUUGGUUAAUAACUUAAUGCUAACUCAAUUCUAAAGAGACUCCAUCCAUGUCAGAUAACCCACCUAGAAGAAAACUUUCCAGAAUAACUUUCUGAAGUAUUGGAGCCCUCGGUAAUUGUAAUUACAAAUGUAGUUCCUCUGACAGACCAAAGUAAACCCUGAACUCAAACAGGAAGGUUCUGACUGCUGUGUUGUAUGACAUCCAACUCUAGUUUGAAAUUUUUCUUGAUCUCCACCCCCCUCAAGAUUCAGAAUUUGGAUUAGUCGGUUUAGACACAGAGCUAGAAAAAUGCCACUUUUGUUAAUGAAAUUAAAAUAGCCCAUAAGCCGAAGAAGUAAGAAAGCAAAGAAUCUUCUUAUAAGGGGAUGGAAAUUGAUGCUAAAUUUACAUUUAUUUCAAUUUCUGAAGAAAAUAAAUACUGUCUUACCAUGUAUUAGGACUUUUGCUUAGUACGAAUUAUUUGUUGCUAUCUAAACAGGUUGAGUUGUGUGUUCUAGAAUACAAAAGUGACUUUGUUGUACAGUUUCAUCGGCCUGAUGAUUCUCUGCUGGAAAUCAGUGGAUGACUCAAAGCAAAGACAAAAGGCAGCCAAGUGUCAGACAGCAAAAGACAACACCGUUUUUCUUUCUUCAUGACAGCUGGGAUGAACAUUUGCAAGAUACGGAUCCAAAUGUUUCUGUACGUAAAACUGUUUGUCACCUGGUGAUCAGCUAUGCCUGUUUGUUACCAUGACCAAACAGUGAGUCCUCAUUUUGAUUCAUCAAGAACUUUGCCCUUUGUUGUGAACUAAAGUACUACUAAAACCUGACAGAGCAAGAACUAAGUUGUUCAAAAGGAUACUGAGUCAUGGUGCAGGAAACACUGAUUAUUAUGCCCAACUUGUUUUCACAUACAUGUGUGCAUGUGCAUAAUAGGUAGAUGUAAGCUCAUUGCUUGCCUUGCAAGGAACUGCUGUAUUUUGUAAGACACAUAGCAAGCAACUUCUCUUAUAUAGCAAGCAUAAUAAGUAAACUUCCCUUUGGUUUCAAUUUCUACAUCCAAAAUAUUUACAGGGACUAUUGAAAUCUGUCUAUCAACUCCUAGGCAAGGCCCUAGACAUUUUUCUAGCUGUUGCGUAAGAAACAACAAAUCUCAGUUUAUGUGGUGCAUGAGAGCUGGCACUGAUUUUCCUAGGAAGCACUGCAACUGUUCUGGUUUGGGCUGCGUUAGAGUUAAUUUUUCAUAGUGAGUGGUAUAUGUCCCUUAAAGAUAAUGCCUUUUCACAGUAUCUGUCUUAUUUUUAAAAGCAUUAAUUAAGAGGAAAGGCAGACAGCAGUAAAAGUAUGUCCACAAUUAACAUAGGAAAAUACUAAGCUCAUGUAAAAUGACUGUAGCGUGCUUUCUGUUGCUUUAUGAUGGAAAACAGAUCUGUACUAUCUGCACACAAAAAGGAGGAAAGCAUUAUUUAAAGUCUCUAAUAGCAUAUUAAGCUGGAGGAAAUUUUAAAUGAUUAGCCUAAUUAGUCUACUUCUUAACAAGGAUCAAGUAAGUUACUAAUGUAGAAAUGAGUAAGGCAGAAGGUUUGUACCUUCUAAGAAGCAUGGCUGCCCUUUAAGCUGCCAUCUGAAUCCACAGUCUCUCCUCUUAGAAUAAGGAAGUUAAGAUCUGGCACUGCUUCAGUUCAAUAAAAAACAAAAUAAUUUGGAUCUUGAUCCCCAAUUUAUCCUGUAGCUAUCUGAGAAAUUCUUUCCUUAUUAACAGAGAAAGAAGGAAGUAACUGUAGAAACUGCUUUAAGGCAGCUGCCUAGAAUUUUUCGUGGUAAUGAGCUCUGUUCAUAGACUUUAAAAAGUUUAAUUAAAUACAGAUGAAUGACAUUUCCUACUUUCGUAAAACUAUAGAUCGGCAUUUGUAAGAGCUCAUGAAGGCAUCCAGUCCUUGUCCUAAUUAGCCACGGUAGUUUAAAGCAAAAAAAAGUAGUGCUGGAGGGGGGGGAGGGGAUCUACUGUUGAUUUAUCAAUUAUGGUAUUUUCUAUUAUACCAAAAUGAUGCAGAAAGGCUUUGAAAUCCAUCAUCCCAAUGCCAGUUUCUGCAGUUAUGAAAAAAAUGCCUAUACUGACAACAAAGUCCAUUUCAUGCUCUUGUAUUCCACUUGACCUUCUAUCUUCUCAGUUUAAGGAUUGUGGCCUGAGGCCACCGCCGUGUCAGUCACCCACAUGUUAACUCUGGCAACAAACCAAGUAUUGAAUUCUUGCAGAAACGCCGAAAAGAUCGUUAGAAAAAAAGAAAAGCUUAUGUGUACAUACAUACUAUGAAGAGCAUUUGAGUGAGCAAACCCAGAAGGUGGGUUUGAGGACGGACCGGGCUGCAAGCUUCCAACCUGCGUAGUACAGAAGGACUCUCAGCAACUGGCCCAAGAGGAAACUGAAGAUGACUUGGUCCUGUGCUGUAGUAACAACACUUCACUGCUUUGGAAAAACAAUAAAAAGAAGAAAGAAAAAAGAAAGCAUUGAGAGUUCCAACACCAUAAAAAGAUAAGAAACAGAAUGUAUUUUGAGUGAAAGUGGAAAAGUCUUGUGUUACGCAACACAGUCAUGCAGAAAUCUCCAAAACAGGUGUGUUCAUAACAGCAUGGCACUGAGCAUGGAUUAAUUCAUUACAGCUGAGAUACUCCUAGGUUCUGAUUGGAAUAGUUUGUGGGUACAUCUUCUCACAGAUGUUCCAGCUCAGAUAUGUUACUGCCUCAGGCCUGCACUUGUACCAUUGGUUCUUGUGGUUUGGCUGAACUGGAGCAAGAGGAACAGAAAGACACAAGGGCUGUUUGCAAAGAAAAACAUAUAGAGGGGGAAAGUAGAAGCAGUUAAACAAAUAAAGAGGUAUUGAAGAGAAGGAAAAUCAAUGAGUCAUAAGUGAACAUGGACGAACUUUCAGAGGAAGUGAUGCAUGCAUGUAGAUGGAUAUUGGAUAUUACAUAGAGGGUAUUUCAAUGCUGGCAUUUGAUUUGAAAGAACAACCAGGCAGGUCCACUUUCUCUCCCUACUAAUUUACAUGAAAUUACUAACUCUCCUCUAAUUUGUAUUAGGACAUUUCAAAGCUCUGCGUGAUUUCCAAAGGCAAUUUGUGCCAAUGGGAAGGUAUACACACAGCAUAUGAAUGAGUACAAGGGAACUUGAUCAAAAUUCCAGUCUCAUGUAUUUUUUCUGAACACUUGCUGCACUCCUUUCAGAUCUGGAAAAUUGCAGGCUGACAUAUCUCUGGAUUUUUUAUGUUGUGCUUCUUUUCUCCUAAGAUCUACGCCCUACUGGUUCUGGGAAACUUGUGACCUCUGCAUUUUUAAUUAGAACUUGUAACAUUUUCCAUAGCAACAUAUUUUGAUGUCGCAAAUACAGAACCUGUCAAAUCAAACAAUUUCAAAGUGCAAAGCUACGGCCUUCUGGUCAAUUGAAGUCCAAGUACAUGAAAACACUGAGAUGCAAGGAAGACUGAAAAUUAUUUGUUGGUUAACUCAUAGCUUUGAUCUUCAUAAUUAAUAAAUCAGUACAGAUAUAAAAGAAUUACAUUGCAUGCUGGAGUGGUUUAGAUGAACUCAGUACUAAUUUCAUCGCACGUGAGAGCAGAUAGAAUCCAUCUGUCUGACUGGUGUGCCAGUACUAACAUGGUACAAAGGAGAGGAUCUAUUUCUAGGAAAUAGUCGAGAUGUGGAACAAACUUCACUCACAUGAUGAGCUGUGUGAGCAGGAAGUGAAGAAAACAGAAAUCCUCUGAAACGAGGCCUGAGCUCAGAUUUCAACAGACCCACAAUAUGAGCAGGAAUAAUAAUAAUGGGUUAAGAAAAGCAGUGUAACUUAGCACUUAAAUAUGUAUAUUAAAAAUAAGUCAUUUAUUUAUGAUACAUGCCCUGCAAGUGCCAAAUAAUACUUCUGUCAAGUCUGAAGAACAUAAACUGAGAAUUUUUGUCAUUCAGAUAUACUUAUCUUUCCUUUUCCUGCUUUAAGCUAAGACUAAUGGCCAAGGAAGUCAUAUUUUCCUGCCAUUACUAAGACUGCACAAGGUAAUUUGCCCCUCUGCAAGGACAUCCACGUGUAACUGUUAGUAACACCAGCAGCCACGAGAUAUGGAUAUGAUCAUCAAGUCUUACUAAAACAAAUGCUGAAUACCAUGAACCUUUCAGGAGGAAAAGGCAAGUGUCAAUGUGGAAUGCGGUAAGAACUUUCUUGUUUCUGGUAGCAUUGGGUAUGUGACUGCUAUCCCUCUUCUUAUUCCAUCUAUUUCCACUUUUUACAAAAAAAAAAAAAAAAAAAAAAAAAAAAAAACACUGGAAUAUUAAGUUAAUAUUAAGUUAAACGUGGUAUGUUUCAACCUUGCAUUGCAGAUAAGGAAUUCCUGGAGUUCCUGAAUCCUGCGUGAUUGCAGGCAGCUCAGCUGAGUGUGCAUAAGGGAAAGGGGAACAAAAAUAUAAGAUUUUUCUGUUUCCUACCAAUUAUCUGAUAUUUCCCCUCUACUGUCUUUGGUGUAAAAGAAAACCAAAGUUCAGCCUUCUAGGAAAUGUAUUCUGGUAACCUGAAAGACUUUAUAAAUAGAGUGCACAAAUAGAUGACAGUACUUCCAUGACAUAGAUUUUCUGCUUUAGAAUGAAAUGCUUCAUUUGAAAAAGCUCCUAAAAUUGUUAGAACAGUAAUUUAAAAAAAAAAAAAAAAGUUUAAACUCCACAAUUGAAUACAAAAAACGUUGCUGUGAAGGUUUUGAUUUCCAAGAAAUCCAUUUUAAACGUAUUUACAAAGUUUACAUAGAAGAAUAGAUCUGCUGCUAUCUAUAACAUUCACUUCUGUAGUAGAACAGCUAAUUUGCGACUAUUGGAUGAGAGAUACAGAAAGAGUCACUUUAGUGAAAGAAAAAAAAAACAUAUUAUUUUAAGGACAAAUAGUAAAAAAUGAUUGUUUUGGAGUUUAGAGACACAGAGUUUGAAGGAUUUUGCCCUCCGAUGCAGACUGCUCAUGCUUAUGCUGUAGCAAAGGAGGAGCAUCUUGACUACAAGAGUCUUAGUGGAAGAAAACUGGCAAUGCCUUUAUAAAAAUGUAUUUAAUUUCUGUGUUUGCAGUUUUCCCAGCUUCAUCCCUAGGUCCUGGCCUCAAGGGCCCUAGAGAUGUCACAGUUUUAAACAGUCUUAUAAAUCUAGGAGGGGAAAUGAGCUGUCUCUCAUCUUAAACAGAGAGCCUUGGAGAAUGUCUAUGGGGCUUUACCAAUGGAGCUGCCGAAAACAAAGCUAUGAUUCAGGGGUCUCUGACCUUUCCCAGCCCUCCUCCACCAGUGUCAGCCUGCAGCCUGCUCUUUAAAAGUUUCUGCUCACCCAGGGAGCAAAAUUAGAAAUCUUCUCCAGGGACAAUUUUUCUUCCAUCAAGCCACUCAUCAGCCCACUGAGGCAUGGAAACCAAAAAGGAAAAAGUGAGUUAAAAGAAUGUAUGUCUCUUGGUAAGGAUUUCCCACAGCAGAGUGUAAGUGUCCAGACUACCUCAUCAGCAGAGUCCCAGCCUUUACUAUAGGUCUUGGUAUUCAGUCUGUACUGUAGUGGUAUAGAAAAGUGCCAAGCACUGUGCAGGUGAUGCAUGCAUCAAUACAGCAGAUGUGGAGGUGUGUUUGAACUGCUUAACAUCAGCACUUACCAAAUGUUGAAGACACUCUAGCCCCUACGACAAAUAAAAGCAUUCAUUCAGAUGUGCAUGGCAUUUCAGGAAUGGAAUCAUUAUUAUCUUCUCCGAAAAUGUUUUGUCUUAUGUUUAAUAUAAUAUAAUAUAUAUUGCUUAUUGGAAACAAAUCCUUGUUAGUCUCGUUGUUUGUUUGUUUCCUAAUUGUGGAUCACCACAGAACAGGGUACAGUUCAUAAAUACCUCAAAUAUCUGAAAGGUGAUUGCAGCAGAGCAGGGCUGGUCUCUUCUCACUGGUGGCAGGAUGAGGAGAAAUGGCCUCAGGCUGCACCAGGGGAGGUUUAGGUCGGAUAUCAGGAAGAAUUUCUUUACAGAAAGGGUUGUUAAGCUCUGGAAUGGGCUCCCCAGGGAGGUGUUGAGUCACCAUCCCUGGAUGUGUUUAAAAUCCAUCUGGAUGUGGUGCUCAGGGACAUGAUUUAGUGGAGGGUUGUUAGAGUUUGGGUAGUAUGGUUGGGUCUUGAUUGGACUCAAUGAUCUUUAAGGUCUUUUCCAAGCAAAUUCUAUGAUUUCCGGAGCAAUUCUAUGAUUCUGUCAUUUAAUAUGGAGAAAAUUCAAGUAAACUAAAAAUCAGAUUUAAAAGAUAACCUGGUGCAAUGUACUUUUAUUUAUUAAUUUGUUUAUUUUUAUUCCCCAGGCCUUUUUAAAGUUAACCCUAGAAAACACCCCAUGUUGGCGACUCCUUGUAAUUCAUGUCAAUGUUCUUUCAGCAGCACAGUUGCUGCUUCCACGCCGUGAGCAUCUCCUGUAUUUGCUUUAGAACUGCUUCCUGCUGAUGCGUUAAGCACAGGAAGUGAAAGGGUCUGUUGUCGAUUCCAUAACUACCUCCCCCCAUUCAGCUGAAGGAAGGGAAAUAAGAAAAUUGAAAGGUCAGACUUCUGAAGUCAUCUUCGCCACGUGCUUAACAUUUACAUCAUCAAAUUAAUGGAAUGACUGCAACCACAAGCACAAAAGAUAAAGGACAGAAGCUCUUUUUCCUUCGCAGUACAAAUCCUUCUCACAGAACCUCACACUGAAUCUUUUCCCAGCUGUACAGGAUUUACUUCCCAUUCUCUUCCAAGAUGCCAGAAACUCAGCCUCUAGCUAAAGCCUGCUAAGACAACUCUUUUUUGUUUCUCUUGGUGAAGCAGACGCACCGCAUUCUGAACGCUUGCACUUUCCACCAUGAGAAGUGUUCUGGGAGAGAAAGCCCCAAAAGAUCAAAUGUUAUCAUUUCUCAUUAAGUCAGUUUACACCACUGUUGUCAGUCAGUGUAAGGAACAUUAAUAAGUACAAGCUGUGGUAAAUUCCUGGAGGUCGCCUUGCAGUGAUAAGGAAGCCUUGCAGUGAUCUGGAAGCCUACCUGCCUGCCAUGGAGCCCAAAGGCAGUCAUGCCAUCCCAUCCAUCUCCCUGAAGUCAAACUGGGCCCUGAAGUCUGAAGACUGCAAUAUUUCGUGUAGUUCUGCCUACAUACCAAACAUCCUCAGCAUCAAAAAUCCACUUGGCAGGUCUUUGGGCAGGCACUGAGUUUUCAUAUGUAUCAACCCGUCCAUGUAGAAUGAGAGCCUUUUCACCUGCGUGUAACUUGUUAAUGUGAGCAAAUAAAGCAUCUGGGAAGGGCAGGGAAAGGAAGGGGGAAAAGAAUAAGGUCAGAUCUGUAAAGUAAGUCGAUCUCUAAGGAUUAAGCAGUGCUUCUUUGUAGAGAUCCUCCACCAAAAAAAAAAAAAAACCCAGACAAGAUUCAGUGCUCUCAACAUAAACCACUAUGGAGACCAGCUGAACUCUUGGCAGAUAUCACAGGGUACCCCAAAAAGACAUAAAACAUAUGAUAAGGUGCUAAAUGCAACAUUAUCCAUGUAGCAUCUUUUAUUCAGCAUCUACAGUCAUCUGGGGUAGGCAAACUCAGGCCAGGGCAGCAGUAGUUGAGGUUUAUGUCCAAGGAUCAAGAUUAAAUUUAAAUAAGACACACAUUGCUUGCUUUUUUGUUAGCUGAGGCAAAGAGGACAUCACUCAUUCAGUCUGCAAACACUCCCACUGUGACACACUCAGUGCUAAACUGAGAAACGUUCUUAGGAAUGUCAUAGGUGAGGAAAUGAGCAGCAGCAAAUGGUACCUCCGCUUUGAUACCUGGGUUCAUGGAAACUUAUUUGAAGUGAUGUAAUAGGGCACAACCAUUUACCAGGUGUUGCCUAUUGAGAGGGAAAACUAUACAAAGCCACAUCUGACUUUAAACAGGUUCCUGUAAUGCUAAUUUACUUAGAGAUGGCACCUGGACAGGACAUUGUCUUCAGGAAGCUGUAGUGCACAGCCCAAGAAAUACACACAAACAGCUGUAAUUACUAAUAAGAACACACGUUUACAUUUGUAAGUGUUGGAAAGCCUUCAAUUUAGCAUCUCUAUAAAUGCUGGAAAGCUCUUAGAAUAAAUGACCAGAAUCCCUCCUUCCUUGGGAAGCCAGCAAGGGCCCCACCUGACGGCUCUCCCAACGAAGAGUGUUGGAAGCCAUUUUUUGCAGCUGGGGAAGGAAAAUACAAGCUUAGGGGAAGAAUCUAUCACAACUUCCAGCAUGAGAAGGAAAGCAAGAGACAACUUGUCUGAGUCUGCCUUCUUGCAGCAGGAGGGCUACGAAAGUGUUUUUAAUGUCAGUCAAAACCAUUCUCCACGAUGGAUAAAACACAACAGAAGUGGACCAGGUCCAGUUUUGGGGAGUGAUGCUUUCUGACUGUGAUGGUGCUGUGGUGAAUAUUUCACAUCAGUGUCCGCUUUGUAAAAUUCAAGAUCUGAGUAUCUCUCUAUGCUGUUCGCCUUCUAUAGUGGUUUCCAGCGUAGCUUGCUUUCUUCAACAAUCAACAUCACCUACUAUCUGCAGGCACAAAUUAUCUAUUAUUAUUAUUUCUGCAGUUUAACAACACAAAGCAAAAGCAGAAAUAAAAGGAGAGAACAAAAGCAGCUCGUGAAGUCCACAACAUGCAUAAGAUUUGAUAUACAAUGCAUUAACUUCUCCCCAUUCGGUCCCCACGAGGACAGCGGCUCCAGGGCUGUGUGGUCCUAAAGCUUUAAAGUCAUUGAAAUUCUAAUCUUUAAAAAACACUGAAAGAUGAACUUUGACUGUACAAACCUUCAAAUAAAA
This is a long non-coding RNA of Gallus gallus (chicken), 11322 nucleotides long. NCBI's taxonomy places the organism in Eukaryota, Metazoa, Chordata, Aves, Galliformes, Phasianidae. The record is from Ensembl.